Molecule: ribosomal RNA, 745 nt
Filed under: uncultured bacterium
Lineage: Bacteria
Description: bacterial SSU rRNA
Rfam family: Bacterial small subunit ribosomal RNA
Source: RNAcentral
ACGCUGGCGGCAGGCCUAACACAUGCAAGUCGAGCGGUAGAGAGAAGCUUGCUUCUCUUGAGAGCGGCGGACGGGUGAGUAAUGCCUAGGAAUCUGCCUGGUAGUGGGGGAUAACGUUCGGAAACGGACGCUAAUACCGCAUACGUCCUACGGGAGAAAGCAGGGGACCUUCGGGCCUUGCGCUAUCAGAUGAGCCUAGGUCGGAUUAGCUAGUUGGUGGGGUAAUGGCUCACCAAGGCGACGAUCCGUAACUGGUCUGAGAGGAUGAUCAGUCACACUGGAACUGAGACACGGUCCAGACUCCUACGGGAGGCAGCAGUGGGGAAUAUUGGACAAUGGGCGAAAGCCUGAUCCAGCCAUGCCGCGUGUGUGAAGAAGGUCUUCGGAUUGUAAAGCACUUUAAGUUGGGAGGAAGGGUUGUAGAUUAAUACUCUGCAAUUUUGACGUUACCGACAGAAUAAGCACCGGCUAACUCUGUGCCAGCAGCCGCGGUAAUACAGAGGGUGCAAGCGUUAAUCGGAAUUACUGGGCGUAAAGCGCGCGUAGGUGGUUAGUUAAGUUGGAUGUGAAAUCCCCGGGCUCAACCUGGGAACUGCAUUCAAAACUGACUGACUAGAGUAUGGUAGAGGGUGGUGGAAUUUCCUGUGUAGCGGUGAAAUGCGUAGAUAUAGGAAGGAACACCAGUGGCGAAGGCGACCACCUGGACUGAUACUGACACUGAAGUGCGAAAGCGUGGGGAGCAAAC